This 469-nucleotide ribosomal RNA is filed under the name uncultured bacterium. Its description in RNAcentral is "partial 16S ribosomal RNA". It matches the Rfam family "Bacterial small subunit ribosomal RNA", at positions 28 to 507 of the family's 1533-position model. The record is from RNAcentral.
GACGAACGCUGGCGGCGUGCUUAACACAUGCAAGUCGAACGGAAAGGCCCUGCUUUUGUGGGGUGCUCGAGUGGCGAACGGGUGAGUAACACGUGAGUAACCUGCCCUUGACUUUGGGAUAACUUCAGGAAACUGGGGCUAAUACCGGAUAGGAGCUCCUGCUGCAUGGUGGGGGUUGGAAAGUUUCGGCGGGUGGGGAUGGACUCGCGGGCUAUCAGCUUGUUGGGGGGGGAGUGGCUUACCAAGGCUUUGACGGGUAGCCGGCCUGGGGGGGUGGCCGGCCAACAUGGGGCUGGGAAACGGCCCAGACCCCUACGGGAGGCAGCAGUGGGGAAUUUUGCACAAGGGGCGCAAGCCGGAAGCAGGCAGCCCGCGGGGGGGAUGACGGGCUUCGGGUUGUAAACCCCGUUCGCCAGGGACGAAGCUUUGUGUGACGGUAACUAGAAAAGAAGCACCGGCUAACUACGUG